AGCUCAUCUGAUGGUAGUGGGUUAUUAGAACUUAUUAACACUCAUGUCACUAAAGUUGGUAUACAACUUCCCACUGCUAAAUUUGACUGGCUUUAA
This 96-nucleotide Y RNA is filed under the name Prolemur simus (greater bamboo lemur). RNAcentral describes it as "Y RNA (ENSPSMG00000007674.1)". It matches the Rfam family "Y RNA". From Rfam's summary of the family: Y RNAs are components of the Ro ribonucleoprotein particle (Ro RNP), in association with Ro60 and La proteins. Lineage: Eukaryota; Metazoa; Chordata; Mammalia; Primates; Lemuridae. The record is from Rfam by way of RNAcentral.